GUAGACAAGUUGUGUAAAGUAACAUUAAAAUUGUGAAGAUUAAAAGUACAAGAGCCAUCAUAAACAGUCAUUCUUAAAAUUUUGUUUUGGCUUUGUUAUUUGUAGCUGUAGUUUUUAAAAAGGAAUAAACAGGUUUUUGUGUAAAUAUGUUGGAAUGACUAUUAUAGAGCAUCUUUAAACUGGAAUACAUGUAAUUACUAACACUGGUUGUUUGAUGUAUUUUUCAGUGCAUAAAGUAUGUGUAAAUCUGUAUAAGUGAAAUACCUAUAAAUAAAAUUGUUUCUGCAUUGCAAUAACAUAUCUUUUGAUAUUUUUUGAAGUGCUUGUUGUCAGUAGGGUCUACCAAUUUCAUUAACAUCAUCAGGGAUCCUAAAAUAAUUUUUAGUACAUUAAUAUCUUGCAGUUUGAUGUUAUAACUCAUUAUCUGUGUUGUGUUAACUAGAACUUUAUAUAUUGGCAUCCCUGGUCACUAAUAUUGUGAGAUAACUGAUUCAAAGCAGUGAAGU
Molecule: long non-coding RNA, 506 nt
Filed under: Bos taurus (domestic cattle)
Lineage: Eukaryota; Metazoa; Chordata; Mammalia; Artiodactyla; Bovidae
Description: long non-coding RNA NONBTAT026425
Source: RNAcentral